This 559-nucleotide ribosomal RNA is filed under the name uncultured bacterium. Its description in RNAcentral is "bacterial SSU rRNA". It matches the Rfam family "Bacterial small subunit ribosomal RNA", at positions 35 to 626 of the family's 1533-position model. The record is from RNAcentral.
GCUGGCGGCGUGCCUAACACAUGCAAGUCGCACGAGAAAGUGGAGCAAUCCAUGAGUAAAGUGGCGCACGGGUGAGUAACACGUGAAUGAUCUACCUCCGAGUGGGGAAUAACCUGGAGAAAUCCGGGCUAAUACCGCAUAACACUUACGAGUCAAAGCAGCAAUGCGCUUGGAGAGGAGUUCGCGGCCGAUUAGUUAGUUGGUGGGGUAAUGGCCUACCAAGACGAUGAUCGGUAUCCGGCCUGAGAGGGCGCACGGACACACUGGAACUGAAACACGGUCCAGACUCCUACGGGAGGCAGCAGUGGGGAAUUUUGCGCAAUGGGGGAAACCCUGACGCAGCAACGCCGCGUGGAGGAUGAAAUCCCUUGGGAUGUAAACUCCUUUCGAUCGGGACGAUUAUGACGGUACUGGAAGAAGAAGCCCCGGCUAACUUCGUGCCAGCAGCCGCGGUAAUACGAGGGGGGCAAGCGUUGUUCGGAAUUAUUGGGCGUAAAGGGCGCGUAGGCGGUUUGACAAGUCUGAUGUGAAAUCUCUGGGCUCAACUCAGAGUCUGCAU